This 905-nucleotide ribosomal RNA is filed under the name uncultured Planococcus sp. RNAcentral describes it as "bacterial SSU rRNA". It matches the Rfam family "Bacterial small subunit ribosomal RNA", at positions 29 to 883 of the family's 1533-position model. Lineage: Bacteria; Bacillati; Bacillota; Bacilli; Caryophanales; Caryophanaceae. The record is from RNAcentral.
GCGAACGCUGGCGGCGUGCCUAAUACAUGCAAGUCGAGCGCAUGCACCCGGCGGACCUCUUCGGAGGGAAAUCGGGGAAUUGAGCGGCGGACGGGUGAGUAACACGUGGGCAACCUGCCCUCUAGACGGGGAUAACUCCGGGAAACCGGAGCUAAUACCCGAUAAUCAAGCAGAUCACCUGAUCUGCUUGUAAAAGCAUGGCCUUCGGGCCAUGCACUGGAGGAUGGGCCCGCGGCGUAUUAGCUAGUUGGAGAGGUAAGGGCUCCCCAAGGCGACGAUACGUAGCCGACCUGAGAGGGUGAUCGGCCACACUGGGACUGAGACACGGCCCAGACUCCUACGGGAGGCAGCAGUAGGGAAUCAUCCGCAAUGGACGAAAGUCUGACGGUGCAACGCCGCGUGAGUGAUGAAGGUUUUCGGAUCGUAAAGCUCUGUUGUGAGGGAGGAACAAGGGCGGUUCUAACAGGGCCGCCCCCUGACGGUACCUCACCAGAAAGCCCCGGCUAACUACGUGCCAGCAGCCGCGGUAAUACGUAGGGGGCAAGCGUUGUCCGGAAUUAUUGGGCGUAAAGCGCGCGCAGGCGGUUCCUUAAGUCUGAUGUGAAAGCCCACGGCUCAACCGUGGAGGGUCAUUGGAAACUGGGGAACUGGAAUGCAGAAGAGGAGAGUGGAAUUCCACGUGUAGCGGUGAAAUGCGUAGAUAUGUGGGAGGACACCAGUGGCGAAGGCGGCUUCUCUGGUCUGUUAUUUGACCGCUGANGCGCGAAAGCGGUGGGGAAGCAAACAGGAUUAGAUACCCNUGGUAGGUCCACGNCGUAAAACGAUGAGUGCUANGGUGUNAGGGGUUUCCGAUGCCCUUUAGUGGCCGGANGCUAACGCAUUAAGGCACUCCGCCUGGGGGAGGU